Molecule: ribosomal RNA, 301 nt
Filed under: uncultured bacterium
Lineage: Bacteria
Description: partial 16S ribosomal RNA
Rfam family: Bacterial small subunit ribosomal RNA
Source: RNAcentral
CAGUAGCCGCGGUAAUACGUAGGGGGCAAGCGUUGUCCGGAAUUAUUGGGCGUAAAGCGCGCGCAGGCGGUUUUUUAAGUCUGGUGUCUAAGUGCGGGGCUCAACCCCGUGACGCACUGGAAACUGGGAGACUUGAGUGCAGAAGAGGAGAGCGGAAUUCCACGUGUAGCGGUGAAAUGCGUAGAGAUGUGGAGGAACAUCAGUGGCGAAGGCGGCCAUCUGGGACAACACUGACGCUGAGGCACGAAAGCGUGGGGAGCAAACAGGAUUAGAUACCCCAGUAGUCCCUGUCUCUUAUACA